ACUAGCAGUAAGAGUUUGAUCCUGGCUCAGAACGAACGCCGGCGGCAUGCCUAACACAUGCAAGUCGAACGAGACCUUCGGGUCUAGUGGCGCACGGGUGCGUAACGCGUGGGAACCUGCCUUUAGGUUCGGAAUAACUUCCCGAAAGGGAUGCUAAUACCGGAUAAUGUCUUCGGACCAAAGAUUUAUCGCCUUUAGAUGGGCCCGCGUAGGAUUAGCUUGUUGGUGGGGUAAUGGCCUACCAAGGCGACGAUCCUUAGCUGGUCUGAGAGGAUGAUCAGCCACACUGGGACUGAGACACGGCCCAGACUCCUACGGGAGGCAGCAGUGGGGAAUAUUGGACAAUGGGCGAAAGCCUGAUCCAGCAAUGCCGCGUGAGUGAUGAAGGCCUUAGGGUUGUAAAGCUCUUUUACCCGGGAUGAUAAUGACAGUACCGGGAGAAUAAGCCCCGGCUAACUCCGUGCCAGCAGCCGCGGUAAUAC
RNAcentral lists this ribosomal RNA (482 nucleotides) under uncultured bacterium. Its description in RNAcentral is "bacterial SSU rRNA". It matches the Rfam family "Bacterial small subunit ribosomal RNA", at positions 1 to 526 of the family's 1533-position model. The record is from RNAcentral.